UACGUAGGGGGCAAGCGUUGUCCGGAAUCAUUGGGCGUAAAGAGCGUGUAGGCGGCCAGAUAAGUCCGCUGUGAAAUCUCGAGGCUCAACUUCGAGCUGUCGGUGGAAACUGUCUGGCUAGAGUCCGGAAGAGGAGAAUGGAAUUCCUGGUGUAGCGGUGAAAUGCGCAGAUAUCAGGAAGAACACCCGUGGCGAAGGCGGGUCUCUGGGCCACUACUGACGCUGAGAAGCGAAAGCAUGGGGAGCGAACAGG
This 253-nucleotide ribosomal RNA is filed under the name uncultured bacterium. Its description in RNAcentral is "partial 16S ribosomal RNA". It matches the Rfam family "Bacterial small subunit ribosomal RNA", at positions 524 to 776 of the family's 1533-position model. The record is from RNAcentral.